UCGGUUGAUCCUGCCGGACCUUACUGCUAUCGGGGUGGGACUAAGACAUGCGAGUCGAGCGUCUCUAGCUAUGUUGAGACGCGGCAGACGGCUCAGUAACACGUGGCUAACCUACCCUCAGGACAAGGAUAAACCCGGGAAACUGGGGCUAAUACUUGAUAGGCGAAGAUGCCUGGAAUGGUUUUUCACCUAAAGGGCUUUAGAAACAUGCUUCUAAAGUCGCCUGAGGAUGGGGCCGCGUCCGAUCAGGUUGUUAGUGAGGUAACGGCUCACCAAGCCUAUAACCGGUACGGGCCGUGAGAGCGGUAGCCCGGAGAUGGGUACUGAGACAAGGACCCAGGCCCUACGGGGCGCAGCAGUCGCGAAAACUCCGCAAUGCACGAAAGUGUGACGGGGCUACCCCGAGUGCCAUCCGCUGAGGAUGGCUUUUCUUUGGUAUAACUAGCCAGGGGAAUAAGGAGAGGGCAAGACUGGUGUCAGCCGCCGCGGUAAUACCAGCUCUCCGAGUGGUAGGGAUGAUUAUUGGGCUUAAAGCGUCCGUAGCCGGCUUAGCAAGUCUCCUGUUAAACUCAGCGACCUAAUCGUUGAACCGCGGGAGAUACUACUAGGCUAGGAGGCGGGAGAGGUCGACGGUACUUCUGGGGUAGGGGUGAAAUCCUAUAAUCCCGGGAGGACCACCAGUGGCGAAGGCUGUCGACUAGAACGCGCUCGACGGUGAGGGACGAAAGCUGGGGGAGCGAACCGGANUAGAUACCCGGGUAGUCCCAGCCGUAAACGAUGCGGGCUAGGUGUUGAGAUGGCUACGUGCCAUUUCAGUGCCNCAGGGAANCCAUUAAGCCCNCCGCCUGGGGAGUANGGNCNCAAGGNUGAAACUUAAAGGAAUNGNC
This 887-nucleotide ribosomal RNA is filed under the name uncultured archaeon. RNAcentral describes it as "bacterial SSU rRNA". It matches the Rfam family "Archaeal small subunit ribosomal RNA", at positions 4 to 869 of the family's 1478-position model. The record is from RNAcentral.